CUUCUACACGAAAACGAUUUUGAGGAUGAGAACAGAAAGAUGCAUAAAAAAAACAAUAGCGGUAUAUCAAGAGGAAGGGCGCUAGUGCAGGAAAGGCAGAAGUUUGAAAGGAUUGGCAUGAUAAGACGAGAUUCAUCUGGAAAGAUGCAUAAAAAAAACAAUAGCGGUAUAAAGAGGAAGGGCGCUAGUGCAGGAAAGGUAGAAGUUUGAAAGGAUUGGCACGAUAAGACGAGAUUCAUCUGGAAGAUGAGAAUGUCGAUUCGUGGGCGGCCGAUUUAUAUGUUAAUGAAAUGUCCAGUAUCCUGCAAUUUCGCCUUUUUGAUCAACAAGGGAUUGAAUCACUUCAAGGGGGGAACUCCUGGGUUGAGCUUACGAGGACUGUCAUUUCAAGGACGAUCAGUCCGGAUUUGACCGAUGUCGACAGUCUCGCCACGGCCUAUUGUCUUUUUCUGGAGAAGGGCCCGUCGAGUGAGAUAAUGAACGAUGCCCCGAUAAUCCUGCAGCUAUGG
This 509-nucleotide long non-coding RNA is filed under the name Nicotiana benthamiana. RNAcentral's name for it is "long non-coding RNA (NBEN_LNC004936)". Lineage: Eukaryota; Viridiplantae; Streptophyta; Magnoliopsida; Solanales; Solanaceae. The record is from RNAcentral.